UGGGGAAUCGUCUAGUGGUAGGACAGCGGACUCUGGAUCCGCAAGGGAAGGUUCGAGUCCUUCUUCCCCAGCCA
RNAcentral lists this transfer RNA (74 nucleotides) under Dehalococcoidia bacterium. RNAcentral describes it as "tRNA-Gln". It matches the Rfam family "tRNA". From Rfam's summary of the family: Transfer RNA (tRNA) molecules are approximately 80 nucleotides in length. Their secondary structure includes four short double-helical elements and three loops (D, anti-codon, and T loops). Lineage: Bacteria; Bacillati; Chloroflexota; Dehalococcoidia. RNAcentral also lists the same sequence under 2 other names. The record is from RNAcentral.